Molecule: ribosomal RNA, 776 nt
Filed under: uncultured Neocallimastigales
Lineage: Eukaryota; Fungi; Neocallimastigomycota; Neocallimastigomycetes; Neocallimastigales
Description: partial large subunit ribosomal RNA
Rfam family: Eukaryotic large subunit ribosomal RNA
Source: RNAcentral
CAUAGCGACUAUCGUGGCAUAUCAAUAAGCGGAGGAAAAGAAACUAACAAGGAUUCCCUUAGUAACGGCGAGUGAAGCGGGAAGAGCUCAAAUUUGAAAUCUUCAAGGUUUUACCUUGACGAAUUGUAGUUUAAAGAAGUGUUUUCUGUUGGAGUUUUGGUAAAAGUUCUUUGGAAUAGGACAUCAUAGAGGGUGAGAAUCCCGUAUUUGACUAUUCUUUCUAGCUUUGUGAUACACUUUCAAAGAGUCGGAUUGUUUGGGAAUGCAGUCCAAAAUGGGUGGUAAAUUUCAUCUAAAGCUAAAUAUUGGCGAGAGACCGAUAGCGAACAAGUACCGUGAGGGAAAGAUGAAAAGAACUUUGAAAAGAGAGUUAAACAGUACGUGAAAUUGUCAAAAGGGAAGCGUUUGACACCAGUGUUGUUUUUCCGAAAAUCAAUUAAAAAUUGAUUCAUGCCAGGUUGUAUUGACCUUAUCAGCUUGCAAUUUGGUUUUGGGUCUCUUUUUGAUGCACUUUUCGGUUAACAAGUCAACAUCAAUUUCUUUGUUGUAAAAAGGUAAUGAGGAAGGUGGCUUUCAAUUUCGGUGAAGUGUUUAUAGCCUUUUAUCUCUGCAGUCGGAGAGAUUGAGGUCUGCAGCGUAGAUCCUUCGGGGUUAGAUACAUUUAUGCUAAGUUAUAGCUUUUCAUAGACAACUUGUUGACUAUGUUAGUCAUUGUAGAUUUACUCGUCAGAUGCUAUUUUACCUACGCUUAGGAUGUUGAUAGUCACAGCGUGUAC